This 497-nucleotide ribosomal RNA is filed under the name uncultured bacterium. RNAcentral describes it as "partial 16S ribosomal RNA". It matches the Rfam family "Bacterial small subunit ribosomal RNA", at positions 28 to 507 of the family's 1533-position model. The record is from RNAcentral.
GAUGAACGCUGGCGGCGUGCCUAAUACAUGCAAGUCGAGCGAACGGACGAGAAGCUUGCUUCUCUGAUGUUAGCGGCGGACGGGUGAGUAACACGUGGAUAACCUACCUAUAAGACUGGGAUAACUUCGGGAAACCGGAGCUAAUACCGGACAAUAUUUUGAACCUCAUGGUUCAAAAGUGAAAGACGGUCUUGCUGUCACUUAUAGAUGGAUCCGCGCUGCAUUAGCUAGUUGGUAAGGUAACGGCUUACCAAGGCAACGAUGCAUAGCCGACCUGAGAGGGUGAUCGGCCACACUGGAACUGAGACACGGUCCAGACUCCUACGGGAGGCAGCAGUAGGGAAUCUUCCGCAAUGGGCGAAAGCCUGACGGAGCAACGCCGCGUGAGUGAUGAAGGUCUUCGGAUCGUAAAACUCUGUUAUUAGGGAAGAACAUAUGUGUAAGUAACUGUGCACAUCUUGACGGUACCUAAUCAGAAAGCCACGGCUAACUACGUG